RNAcentral lists this long non-coding RNA (1128 nucleotides) under Medicago truncatula (barrel medic). Its description in RNAcentral is "lncRNA gene28860". Lineage: Eukaryota; Viridiplantae; Streptophyta; Magnoliopsida; Fabales; Fabaceae. The record is from RNAcentral.
AGGAAAAGAAAAAAAGAAAAAGAAAAAAAAAAAAAGAGGGAAGGGAAUUAUCCAAUUCAUGGCUACAUCUUUAUAAAUUCGUGUCAAAGGAAAUAGAAAUAAAAGUAUGUUUUUGCAAAAUAAAAAAUAAAAAAAGUAUGCUUGACUAAAAAAAAAGAGAGUAUGUUUUGGCAAUAUUACAAACAAUGAUUGGGGUUACAAUGUUGUCAUAAACAAAAUUGAAGGGCUUUCAUUUCAUGUUUUUAGUAUUGUGCCCCCUUAAUAGUGAUUACUUUGUAUUGUGUUCCCUAAUGCUGAAAUGUCAUCGAUUGCAUCAAUCAGAUCGUUCUACCUCAAUUAGAGACCAAAUUCUAUUGUUGUUUGCUUUGAUGGGAAUAGAUGGGGUAUCCUCUUUCCAAGUCUGUCCUUGAAUUUGGACAACACCAUUCAUUUACAUUAUUCAUUGUUAAUGUGGUGGGAUUAGUUAACAGGUGAGGAUUUGAUACCCCUUUUGUUUUGACAUAUGUCUUUGCUUUUUGUCUUCGUGAGCUUAACUUAGUUGGUAAGGACGGUGUAUAAUAUAUGUAAGGUCUGGGGUUGAAACCUCGGUCACCACCCAUAUAUCUUUGCUUUCUCGUUCUUGCAUUUUAGAUAACAUUGAAGAGUUAGAAACAUUUUCUCCAACACGUGAAAUUCAUGUGAGCGCCAUAUAUUGAAAUAAGUCUGGUGAAGCUCAAAUGAAUUUACUCAGAAAUAGAGCGAGUGUUAGAUAAAGUGUUAUUAACAUUCAUUUUAAAUAAGCGAAAUGAUAUUUGCAUAAUUAUUUUUUAAACAACUUUUGAAAGAAAAAAAAAAACAUUUUUUCCUCUUUUCUUAUAACAACUUUUUUAGUGACGGAUAGUUUACUUAUGGUAUGUUUGUUUUAGCGGUGGAUUUAUCACUUAUGCGGCAAAAAACCACAGAGGAGAAGCUUGGUUUGUUAGCUUCUCUUAAAUCUCGGUGGGAGCAUAUAGAAACACACGUUUGAUGGUGCAAACUCCCAGCAAACAUAGGCUUAGUAUAACAAUCACAUAUAGCAAAAAGCUUAUGUGCAUUUUCUUAGGUGUUUUUCCUAUGAUUUUUAACUAAAUUCAUCAUGAUUUCUUUAAA